Molecule: long non-coding RNA, 340 nt
Filed under: Homo sapiens (human)
Lineage: Eukaryota; Metazoa; Chordata; Mammalia; Primates; Hominidae
Description: non-protein coding lnc-BRF1-39:1
Source: RNAcentral
AUGUUGUUUGGGCUGAGCUGGGCUUUCCUUUUUACUAUUUUAAGAGGUGUGCAGUAUGAGGUGCAGCUGGUAGAGUCUGGGGGAGACUUGGUACAGCUGUGGUGGGGUUGGGGGUGUCCUGAGACUCUCAUGUGCAGCCUGCGGAUUCAUCUUGAGAAGCAAUGACAUGAACUGGGCCCACCGGGCUUCAAGAAAGGGGCUGGAAUGGGUCUCAUACAUUAGUGCUAGUGGUGGUAGCCUAUACUAUGCAGACACUGAAGGGUAGAUUCACCAUCUCUAGAGACAAUGGCAAGAACAUGCUGUACUUGCAAAUGAACAGUCUGAGAGAUGAGGACUCGGC